Molecule: ribosomal RNA, 819 nt
Filed under: Usnocetraria oakesiana
Lineage: Eukaryota; Fungi; Ascomycota; Lecanoromycetes; Lecanorales; Parmeliaceae
Description: SSU rRNA
Rfam family: Bacterial small subunit ribosomal RNA
Source: RNAcentral
AAUGUAUAGCAAUAGCUACUUGCAUCAUUGUAAAUAUGAUGCAAGAUCGACUAUGUCGAAUAAAAUUCUAGGUAGAAUUAUGAUAAUGACAUUGUCUGCCUAUGUGUCUUGACCAAAUUACGUGCCAGCAGUCGCGGUAAUACGUAGAAGACUAGUGUUAUUCAUGUUUAAUCGGUUUAAAGGGUACCUAGACGGUAAAUCAAGCCUAAAAGGAAAGAAAUAAAGGGACUAAUUUACUAGAGUUACUUAUGAGGGGGUAUUAAAGUACUGCUGGUGUAGAGAUGAAAUUCUGUCAUACCUCUUUUCAAUAGAAAAAUAACGGCACAGGUAUAGGCGAAGGCAUCCCCUUAUGUGAUAACUGACGUUGAGGGACGAAGGCUUUGUGUAGCGAACAGGAUUAGAUACCCCAGUAGUCAAAGCAGAAAAUGAUGAAUGUCAUAGAUUAGAUGUAUAAGUUUAUUCUAUAAAUGAAAGUGUAAGCAUUCCACCUCAAGAGUAAUUUGGCAACAUUGGAACUGAAAUCAUUAGACCGUUUCUGAAACCAGUAGUGAAGUAUGUUGUUUAAUUUGAUGAUCCGCAAAAAACCUUACCACAAUUUGAAUAUUUUUACUUAUUGUUUUUCUUUUUAAUUUUCUUCUGAUUUUCUGCCUGAGGAAAAAAGAAGAAAAGAAAAAAGAGGCAAUAAGAUAUCUUUACAAGCGUUGCACGGCUGUCUUCAGUUAAUGUCGUGAGACUAUGGUUAGUUCCAUUAAAUUAACGUAAACCCUUACUUUAUUUUUAUAUAGAGUAGUUCCCCGCUAUAUUGGAUAUGAUAACAGG